CCUACGGGUGGCUGCAGUGAGGAAUAUUGGUCAAUGGACGAGAGUCUGAACCAGCCAAGUAGCGUGAAGGAUGACUGCCCUAUGGGUUGUAAACUUCUUUUAUAUGGGAAUAAAAUGUUCCACGUGUGGGAUUUUGUAUGUACCAUAUGAAUAAGGAUCGGCUAACUCCGUGCCAGCAGCCGCGGUAAUACGGAGGAUCCGAGCGUUAUCCGGAUUUAUUGGGUUUAAAGGGAGCGUAGGUGGAUUGUUAAGUCAGUUGUGAAAGUUUGCGGCUCAACCGUAAAAUUGCAGUUGAAACUGGCAGUCUUGAGUACAGUAGAGGUGGGCGGAAUUCGUGGUGUAGCGGUGAAAUGCUUAGAUAUAACUUAGAACUCCGAUAGCGAAGGCAGCUUACCAGACUGCGACUGACGCUGAAGCACGAGAGCGUGGGUAGCGAACAGGAUUAGAUACCCUAGUAAUC
RNAcentral lists this ribosomal RNA (460 nucleotides) under uncultured bacterium. RNAcentral's name for it is "partial 16S ribosomal RNA". It matches the Rfam family "Bacterial small subunit ribosomal RNA", at positions 338 to 795 of the family's 1533-position model. The record is from RNAcentral.